AGAGCGAACGCUGGCAGCAGGCCUAACACAUGCAAGUCGAGCGCCCGUAGCAAUACGGGAGCGGCAGACGGGAUAGUAACACGUGGGAACGCGCCCUUCGGUUCGGAAUAACUCAGGGAAACUUGAGCUAAUACCGGAUACGCCCUUACGGGGAAAGAUUUAUUGCCGAAGGAACGGCCCGCGUCCGAUUAGCUAGUUGGUGAGGUAAUGGCUCACCAAGGCGACGAUCGAUAGCUGGUCUGAGAGGAUGAUCAGCCACAUUGGGACUGAGACACGGCCCAGACUCCUACGGGAGGCAGCAGUGGGAAUAUUGGACAAUGGGCGCAAGCCUGAUCCAGCCAUGCCGCGUGGAUGAUGAAGGCCCUAGGGUUGUAAAGUCCUUUCGACGGGAAGAUAAUGACGGUACCCGUAGAACGAAGCCCCGGAUAACUUCGUGCCAGCAGCCGC
This 447-nucleotide ribosomal RNA is filed under the name uncultured bacterium. RNAcentral describes it as "SSU rRNA". It matches the Rfam family "Bacterial small subunit ribosomal RNA", at positions 26 to 518 of the family's 1533-position model. The record is from RNAcentral.